This 322-nucleotide ribosomal RNA is filed under the name uncultured Serratia sp. RNAcentral's name for it is "partial 16S ribosomal RNA". The stretch from base 1 to 231 matches the Rfam family "Bacterial small subunit ribosomal RNA", at positions 1304 to 1533 of the family's 1533-position model. Lineage: Bacteria; Pseudomonadati; Pseudomonadota; Gammaproteobacteria; Enterobacterales; Yersiniaceae. The record is from RNAcentral.
UCUGCAACUCGACUCCAUGAAGUCGGAAUCGCUAGUAAUCGUAGAUCAGAAUGCUACGGUGAAUAUGUUCCUGGGCCUUGUACACACCGCCCGUCACACCAUGGGAGUGGGUUGCAAAAGAAGUGGGUAGCUUAACCUUAAUGGAGGGCGCCUACCACUUUGUGAUUCAUAACUGGGGUGAAGUCGUAACAAGGUAACCGUAGGGGAACCUGUGGUUGGAUCACCUCCUUAAAAUAAAAAGAUAUUGAUCAAAGUGGCGUGCCCACACAGAUUGUCUGAUGCAUGAAAUUAAUUACCAUUUUUCCUUAAAAAAGGUCUUGAG